ACGCACGCUGGCGGCGUGCUUAACACAUGCAAGUCGAACGGAAGGGCCCUGCUUUUGUGGGGUGCUCGAGUGGCGAACGGGUGAGUAACACGUGAGUAACCUGCCCUUGACUUUGGGAUAACUUCAGGAAACUGGGGCUAAUACCGGAUAGGAGCUCCUGCUGCAUGGUGGGGGUUGGAAAGUUUCGGCGGUUGGGGAUGGACUCGCGGCUUAUCAGCUUGUUGGUGGGGUAGUGGCUUACCAAGGCUUUGACGGGUAGCCGGCCUGAGAGGGUGACCGGCCACAUUGGGACUGAGAUACGGCCCAGACUCCUACGGGAGGCAGCAGUGGGGAAUAUUGCACAAUGGGCGGAAGCCUGAUGCAGCAACGCCGCGUGCGGGAUGACGGCCUUCGGGUUGUAAACCGCUUUCGCCUGUGACGAAGCGUGAGUGACGGUAAUGGGUAAAGAAGCACCGGCUAACUACGUG
Molecule: ribosomal RNA, 467 nt
Filed under: uncultured bacterium
Lineage: Bacteria
Description: partial 16S ribosomal RNA
Rfam family: Bacterial small subunit ribosomal RNA
Source: RNAcentral